Molecule: ribosomal RNA, 498 nt
Filed under: uncultured bacterium
Lineage: Bacteria
Description: partial 16S ribosomal RNA
Rfam family: Bacterial small subunit ribosomal RNA
Source: RNAcentral
AUUGAACGCUGGCGGCAUGCCUUACACAUGCAAGUCGAACGGUAACAGGUCUUCGGAUGCUGACGAGUGGCGAACGGGUGAGUAAUACAUCGGAACGUGCCUAGUAGUGGGGGAUAACUACUCGAAAGAGUGGCUAAUACCGCAUGAGAUCUACGGAUGAAAGCAGGGGAUCGCAAGACCUUGUGCUACUAGAGCGGCGGAUGGCAGAGUAGGUAGUUGGUGGGAUAAAAACUUACCAAGCCGACGAUCUGUAGCUGGUCUGAGAGGACGAUCAGCCACACUGGGACUGAGACACGGCCCAGACUCCUACGGGAGGCAGCAGUGGGGAAUUUUGGACAAUGGGCGCAAGCCUGAUCCAGCAAUGCCGCGUGCAGGAUGAAGGCCUUCGGGUUGUAAACUGCUUUUGUACGGAACGAAAAGCCCCGGGUUAAUACCCUGGGGUCAUGACGGUACCGUAAGAAUAAGCACCGGCUAACUACGUGCCAGCAGCCGCGGUAA